This 534-nucleotide long non-coding RNA is filed under the name Bos indicus x Bos taurus (hybrid cattle). RNAcentral describes it as "lncRNA (ENSBIXG00000017160.1)". Lineage: Eukaryota; Metazoa; Chordata; Mammalia; Artiodactyla; Bovidae. The record is from RNAcentral.
CCAUCUAUUCAUCUAUUCACUCAUCCCUCCAUCCCUCCAUCCAUCUUUGUUUUGUUUUUUUUUUUUUUUUACAUUUUGCCUCAACCGCCCCCGGAGCCCCGAGCUGGGGCCGGGGCUGCGCCAGGCGCCGGCGGCGGCCAUGGCGGGAGCGGCUGCGGGGCUGCGGGCGGCGGCGGCGGCGGUGGCGAAGGAGGAAGAAGAAGCGGCGGCGGUGGACGCCGAAGCGAACCGGGGCGCCGCCCUCCAUCCAUCUUUGAACAAAUAUUUCUUGAGCACGUUCAACACUUGGUCACACUCAGUGCUUUUCCAGCCCAGCGGCUAGGCCUUGGACAAUGUGGGGAGGAUGACGGCCAGUUCCGCACCCCCGCCCCCGCCCGCCACCACCUGCUUGCCGUGGCUGGGAUUUCACUGGACUGGGGAGGAAUUCUUUCCGAGGAGUCCCUUCUGGAGGCCUCGUCCUUCCUCUGGAAGUGUAUGACUUUUAAGAAUGAAGAAAGAGUCUUUUCUAAGAGACAUGUGUAUCUAGCUGUGUGA